RNAcentral lists this microRNA precursor (225 nucleotides) under Solanum tuberosum (potato). RNAcentral's name for it is "MIR8007 microRNA precursor family". It matches the Rfam family "MIR8007 microRNA precursor family". Lineage: Eukaryota; Viridiplantae; Streptophyta; Magnoliopsida; Solanales; Solanaceae. The record is from Rfam by way of RNAcentral.
AUGUGGCACUUUUCGAAUUUUGAGAUUCAAACAAGUCUAACUUUGACUGUAAUUUUUGCAUAGAUCUUUUAAACAUUUUGAAUUAUCAAUUGUUGUGACUUAUAGUACUUUUUACGUAGUUUACAAAUAUAUAAAUUUCAUUUCAAAAAAAUUGAAGAUUUCAUGCGCAAAUUCCCGGUCAAACUUGAACUAUUUGACUCUCGAAAAACGAAAAGUGUCACAUAA